RNAcentral lists this small RNA (151 nucleotides) under Chelonoidis abingdonii (Abingdon island giant tortoise). Its description in RNAcentral is "TUC338 (ENSCABG00000004968.1)". Lineage: Eukaryota; Metazoa; Chordata; Testudines; Testudinidae. The record is from RNAcentral.
UGAACAGCUCUGGAGAAUGCAUCUAGCCACAGAAAAGGUACAGCAUUCACAGCAGCAAACCAAUCUUCCCCACAUUGUCCUGCCAAUUUGCCUCUACCCACACUCAGAGAGACUGCUGCUAGGGCCACCUGGUAGUUCAUCAUAACUCAGG